Molecule: small RNA, 128 nt
Filed under: Finegoldia magna SY403409CC001050417
Lineage: Bacteria; Bacillati; Bacillota; Tissierellia; Tissierellales; Peptoniphilaceae
Description: Streptococcus sRNA SpR18
Rfam family: Streptococcus sRNA SpR18
Source: Rfam by way of RNAcentral
UUUGAAUCUUGAUAAAGAAAAUAAAAAGAUGCGAGCGAAUAGCGUGCAUUUGUUAAAAAUAAUAAAUUGAAUAAUAGUUCCAAGUGGUUUAUAUUUGGACAAAAAAUUAGACCGUAGUUUCAAGCUGC